This is a long non-coding RNA of Etheostoma spectabile (orangethroat darter), 405 nucleotides long. RefSeq lists it as uncharacterized. The record is from RefSeq and is a predicted model, not a curated record. Lineage: Eukaryota; Metazoa; Chordata; Actinopteri; Perciformes; Percidae. The transcript has 2 exons.
AGUGUGUUGUGUGUGUGUGUGUGGGUGUGUUUGUGUGUGUGUGUGGUGUGUGUGUGUGUGUGUGUGUGUGUGUGUGUGUGUGUGUGUGUGUGUGUGUGUGUGUGUGUGUGUGUGUGUGUGUGUGUGUGUGUGUGGUGUGUGUGUGUGUGUGUGUGUGUGUUGUGUGUGUGUGUGUGUGUGUGUGUGUGUUGUGUGUGUGUGUGUGUUUCAGGACGCUGCAGAGGAAGUGGCCAUCUUUCUUCUGUGGUGACUGCUUUUAGAAAUCUGUCCUUUUGUGUCUUUUUAUAAAUGAAAUCAUCGGGGGAAUCACGUAGAAAGUCUCAAUCUUUAUAGAGGUGAUUUAUUUUUAGAGAAGAUUUGAUGUAAAAAAGAUUCUGUAUUAAAAUCUCCGUCAACGAGAAGCUG